GCCCGCCUAGCUCAAUUGGAUAGAGCGUCAGACUUUUAAGACAAAUAAAGUCAAAGGGCAUCUGAAGGCUGCGAGUUCGAUCCUCGCGGUGGGCU
Molecule: transfer RNA, 95 nt
Filed under: Amanita muscaria Koide BX008
Lineage: Eukaryota; Fungi; Basidiomycota; Agaricomycetes; Agaricales; Amanitaceae
Rfam family: tRNA
About the family: Transfer RNA (tRNA) molecules are approximately 80 nucleotides in length.
Source: Rfam by way of RNAcentral